UACGUAGGGUGCAAGCGUUGUCCGGAAUUAUUGGGCGUAAAGAGCUCGUAGGUGGUCUGUUGCGUCGGCUGUGAAAUCCCGAGGCUCAACCUCGGGCCUGCAGCCGAUACGGGCAGACUAGAGUUCGGCAGGGGAGACUGGAAUUCCUGGUGUAGCGGUGAAAUGCGCAGAUAUCAGGAGGAACACCGAUGGCGAAGGCAGGUCCCUGGGCCACUACUGACGCUGAGAAGCGAAAGCAUGGGGAGCGAACAGG
This 253-nucleotide ribosomal RNA is filed under the name uncultured bacterium. Its description in RNAcentral is "partial 16S ribosomal RNA". It matches the Rfam family "Bacterial small subunit ribosomal RNA", at positions 524 to 776 of the family's 1533-position model. The record is from RNAcentral.